This 587-nucleotide ribosomal RNA is filed under the name uncultured bacterium. Its description in RNAcentral is "bacterial SSU rRNA". It matches the Rfam family "Bacterial small subunit ribosomal RNA", at positions 338 to 916 of the family's 1533-position model. The record is from RNAcentral.
CCUACGGGAGGCAGCAGUAGGGAAUCUUCCGCAAUGGACGAAAGUCUGACGGAGCAACGCCGCGUGAACGAUGAAGGCCUUCGGGUCGUAAAGUUCUGUUGUUAGGGAAGAACAAGUGUUAGUUGAAUAAGCUGGCACCUUGACGGUACCUAACCAGAAAGCCACGGCUAACUACGUGCCAGCAGCCGCGGUAAUACGUAGGUGGCAAGCGUUGUCCGGAAUUAUUGGGCGUAAAGCGCGCGCAGGCGGUUUCUUAAGUCUGAUGUGAAAGCCCCCGGCUCAACCGGGGAGGGUCAUUGGAAACUGGGAAACUUGAGUGCAGAAGAGGAAAGUGGAAUUCCAAGUGUAGCGGUGAAAUGCGUAGAGAUUUGGAGGAACACCAGUGGCGAAGGCGACUUUCUGGUCUGUAACUGACGCUGAGGCGCGAAAGCGUGGGGAGCAAACAGGAUUAGAUACCCUGGUAGUCCACGCUGUAAACGAUGAGUGCUAAGUGUUAGAGGGUUUCCGCCCUUUAGUGCUGAAGUUAACGCAUUAAGCACUCCGCCUGGGGAGUACGGUCGCAAGACUGAAACUUAAGGAAUUGACGG